Molecule: ribosomal RNA, 460 nt
Filed under: uncultured bacterium
Lineage: Bacteria
Description: partial 16S ribosomal RNA
Rfam family: Bacterial small subunit ribosomal RNA
Source: RNAcentral
CCUACGGGAGGCAGCAGUGAGGAAUAUUGGUCAAUGGACGAGAGUCUGAACCAGCCAAGUAGCGUGAAGGAUGACUGCCCUAUGGGUUGUAAACUUCUUUUAUAUGGGAAUAAAACGUUCCACGUGUGGGAUUUUGUAUGUACCAUAUGAAUAAGGAUCGGCUAACUCCGUGCCAGCAGCCGCGGUAAUACGGAGGAUACGAGCGUUAUCCGGAUUUAUUGGGUUUAAAGGGAGCGUAGGUGGAUUGGUAAGUCAGUUGUGAAAGUUUGCGGCUCAACCGUAAAAUUGCAGUUGAAACUGGCAGUCUUGAGUACAGUAGAGGUGGGCGGAAUUCGUGGUGUAGCGGUGAAAUGCUUAGAUAUCACGAAGAACUCCGAUUGCGAAGGCAGUUCACUGGACUGCAACUGACACUGAGGCUCGAAAGUGUGGGUAUCAAACAGGAUUAGAUACCCCUGUAGUC